CCUAGAAAUGGACUGCUUCAGUGUCCCCGUCACCUGCUGAGAUAAAGCAUCUCUUCAGCCAGUCAGCUGUACUGCAGAGAGUGCCAAAAUACUACCCUGGCCAUCAGAAGACCUGGGAUGUAUGAGAUGGAGGAGGAGACCUGGAGCCAGCAGCUUAUACCUUCAGUUCAAUUGUGCCAGAUGUGACGUAGGAGGCUGGAAAACCUCAGGCCAGAGGACACUCCAGCCUGGAGGACAAGGAGCCACAUGCAGGCCUUCGCCUCAUCAGUGGAGCAAAGUAUUGCUUUAGCACCAGCAGUACUCGGAGUUCAGGUGCAUAUUCCACGUCUUCCUUUGCUAAGUCUCACAAAGACUACAGGCUGCCAGGAAGGAAGCAGGCCCACAACAGUAGAGAGAGAAAACAGAGUUCAGAGCUUCCAGCUCCAUACUCAUCAACCCAGGACCUCAUUCCUGGUUCUUGAGCUCAUGUGAGGAUGCUCUUUGCAAUGUCUGAUCCAUCCCUGUCCUGUACAUUGAAAGAUUUCCACCACUUUCAGCAGACUCUGGAUUAGCUCCAUAGCACACUACAAGAAAUACCCAGGAGAGAUGUGCUGCAGCUGGCACUGAAACCCUGCCAGGAUCAGCCAGAUGAUUAUGGACAUUGCCUUGAGGGACAUGAAGUUCACCAUGGCUCCAGCUUUUGAAAUCCUAGCUGUGCUUUUACUGGGAGGUUACUUAGGCUGUGGUUUCACAUGAAUCUCAUGGAAUCACAGAAAACAGGGUGUGUAAAGUGAUACCAGAUGUCUAUGAGAAGCAGCUGAACCCCGCCUCUCGCUGAGGGUGGUGAAGCACUGG
This is a long non-coding RNA of Tyto alba (common barn owl), 834 nucleotides long. RefSeq lists it as uncharacterized. The transcript is spliced from 3 exons. NCBI's taxonomy places the organism in Eukaryota, Metazoa, Chordata, Aves, Strigiformes, Tytonidae. The record is from RefSeq and is a predicted model, not a curated record.